AAGUCGUAACAAGGUUUCCGUAGGUGAACCUGCGGAAGGAUCAUUACCGAGUUAGGGUUGCCUUUUUAGGUGCCCGACCUCCCAACCCUUUGUCUAUGAUACCUAUUGUUGCUUCGGCGCGCCCGAGGGGUCGUACCCUCGCCUGGACUUGUGCCGGGAGCGUGGCCGCCGAUGGCCCAAUUUAAACUAUUGAACCCCAAAACCUGUCGUCUGAAAACGUUAUGAUUUAUAAUCAAAAACAAAACUUUCAACAACGGAUCUCUUGGUUCUG
RNAcentral lists this unclassified non-coding RNA (271 nucleotides) under Strelitziana africana. RNAcentral's name for it is "partial internal transcribed spacer region". The stretch from base 1 to 46 matches the Rfam family "Eukaryotic small subunit ribosomal RNA", at positions 1786 to 1831 of the family's 1831-position model. The record is from RNAcentral. Lineage: Eukaryota; Fungi; Ascomycota; Eurotiomycetes; Chaetothyriales; Trichomeriaceae.